CCCUCAGUAGUGGCGAAUGAAGCGGGAAAAGCUCAAGUUUGAAAUCUGGGGGGGCCUGCUCCCUCAGAGCUGUAAGCUGAAGAGGUUUUGACCGACGCGGCACGGGCUCAAUUUCCUUGGAACAGGAGGUCAUGGAGGGUGAGAACCCCGUCUAUGGCUCGGAUGCCGUCGUCCUUGUGUCGUUUCCUCGAAGAGUCGGGUUGUUUGGGAAUGCAGCUCAAAAUGGGUGGUAAAUUUCAUCUAAGGCUAAAUAUUGGCGAGAGACCGAUAGCAAACAAGUAGAGUGAUCGAAAGAUGAAAAGUACUUUGAAAAGAGAGUGAAACAGUAUGCGAAAUUGUUGAAAGGGAAGCGUUUGGCAUCAGCCCAUGGCCUCUGGCGAUCAUCCAGGCUUCUGCCUGGUGCACUCGUCAGUGGCUGGGCCAGCGUCAGCUUUGCCUGCCGGAGAAAGGCCUCGGGGAUGUGGCUCCCUCUGGGGAGCGUUAUAACCCUUGGCGUAAUGCGGUGCGGCGGGGCUGAGGUCCGCGGUUAACGCCUAGGACGCUGGCGUAAUGGUUCCAAGCGACCCGUCUUGAAACACGGACCAAGGAGUCUAACAUCUAUGCGAGUGUUUGGGUGUCAAGCCCGUCCGCGCAAUGAAAGUGAAUGCAGGCGGGAGCCUUUAGAGGGUGCACCGCC
RNAcentral lists this ribosomal RNA (676 nucleotides) under uncultured Archaeorhizomycetes. RNAcentral describes it as "eukaryotic LSU rRNA". It matches the Rfam family "Eukaryotic large subunit ribosomal RNA", at positions 77 to 762 of the family's 3401-position model. The record is from RNAcentral. Lineage: Eukaryota; Fungi; Ascomycota; Archaeorhizomycetes.